GGAUCUUUAGCUCAAAAUGGUAGAGCACUCGGUCAUCCCUCGAGAGGUUGGUGGUUCAAAUCCAUCAAGAUUCG
This 74-nucleotide transfer RNA is filed under the name Zingiber officinale. RNAcentral's name for it is "tRNA-Asp". It matches the Rfam family "tRNA". Rfam says of the family: Transfer RNA (tRNA) molecules are approximately 80 nucleotides in length. Their secondary structure includes four short double-helical elements and three loops (D, anti-codon, and T loops). Lineage: Eukaryota; Viridiplantae; Streptophyta; Magnoliopsida; Zingiberales; Zingiberaceae. The record is from RNAcentral.